CCUUGACAUACUAAGAACUUUCCAGAGAUGGAUUGGUGCCUUCGGGAACUUAGAUACAGGUGCUGCAUGGCUGUCGUCAGCUCGUGUCGUGAGAUGUUGGGUUAAGUCCGCAACGAGCGCAACCCUUUUCCUUAUUUGCCAGCGGGUAAUGCCGGGAACUUUAAGGAUACUGCCAGUGACAAACUGGAGGAAGGCGGGGACGACGUCAAGUCAUCAUGGCCCUUACGGCCAGGGCUACACACGUGCUACAAUGGUCGGUACAAAGGGUUGCUACCUCGCGAGAGGAUGCUAAUCUCAAAAAGCCGAUCGUAGUCCGGAUCGCAGUCUGCAACUCGACUGCGUGAAGUCGGAAUCGCUAGUAAUCGCGGAUCAGAAUGCCGCGGUGAAUACGUUCCCGGGCCUUGUACACACCGCCCGUCACACCAUGGGAGUUUGUUGCACCAGAAGUAGGUAGUCUAACCGCAAGGAGGGCGCUUACCACGGUGUGGCCGAUGACUGGGGUGAAGUCGUAACAAGGUAGGCGUAGAUGA
RNAcentral lists this ribosomal RNA (530 nucleotides) under uncultured bacterium. RNAcentral describes it as "bacterial SSU rRNA". It matches the Rfam family "Bacterial small subunit ribosomal RNA", at positions 979 to 1509 of the family's 1533-position model. The record is from RNAcentral.